AGCUUUGCACAGUGGCAGUAUCAUAGCCAAUGAGGUUGACCCGAGGCACUAUUAUUGCUAAUUGUUUUCAACCUUAUAAAUAGCUCCCCCAUAUAUAUAAUAUGCAUGCCAACAACAAUGAUCUCUAGUUG
RNAcentral lists this small nuclear RNA (131 nucleotides) under Chinchilla lanigera (long-tailed chinchilla). RNAcentral's name for it is "U4 spliceosomal RNA (ENSCLAG00000020792.1)". The stretch from base 1 to 65 matches the Rfam family "U4 spliceosomal RNA". The record is from RNAcentral. Lineage: Eukaryota; Metazoa; Chordata; Mammalia; Rodentia; Chinchillidae.